GAUGAACGCUGGCGGCGUGCCUCAAACAUGCAAGUCGAGCGAGGCUAUGAGUUACCGCAAGGUAAGGCAUAGCCUAGCGGCGAACGGGUGAGUAACACGUGGGUAACCUACCUGGAAGACAGGGAUAACGAUUCGAAAGGGUCGCUAAUACCUGAUAAUAUCCAUCUGCCGGAUGGCGGAGGGAAGAAAGGGGAAACCCGCUUUCAGAUGGGCCCGCGUCCCGUCAGCUAGUUGGUAAGGUAAAGGCUUACCAAGGCGACGACGGGUAGCCGGUCUGAGAGGAUGUACGGCCACACUGGGACUGAGAUACGGCCCAGACUCCUACGGGAGGCAGCAGUUGGGAAUCUUAGGCAAUGGACGAAAGUCUGACCUAGCGACGCCGCGUGAGGGAAGAAGGCCUUCGGGUUGUAAACCUCUGUCAUGGGGAAGAAGGAAGUGACGGUACCCAACGAGGAAGCCCUGCUAACUACGUG
Molecule: ribosomal RNA, 473 nt
Filed under: uncultured bacterium
Lineage: Bacteria
Description: bacterial SSU rRNA
Rfam family: Bacterial small subunit ribosomal RNA
Source: RNAcentral